CCUACGGGAGGCAGCAGUGAGGAAUAUUGGUCAAUGGGCGGGAGCCUGAACCAGCCAAGUCGCGUGAGGGAUGACGGCCCUAUGGGUUGUAAACCUCUUUUGCCGGGGAGCAAAGUGCCGCACGUGUGCGGUUUGGAGAGUACCCGGAGAAAAAGCAUCGGCUAACUCCGUGCCAGCAGCCGCGGUAAUACGGAGGAUGCGAGCGUUAUCCGGAUUUAUUGGGUUUAAAGGGUGCGUAGGCGGAAGAUCAAGUCAGCGGUAAAAUUGAGAGGCUCAACCUCUUCGAGCCGUUGAAACUGGUUUUCUUGAGUGAGCGAGAAGUAUGCGGAAUGCGUGGUGUAGCGGUGAAAUGCAUAGAUAUCACGCAGAACUCCGAUUGCGAAGGCAGCAUACCGGCGCU
This 400-nucleotide ribosomal RNA is filed under the name uncultured bacterium. RNAcentral's name for it is "bacterial SSU rRNA". It matches the Rfam family "Bacterial small subunit ribosomal RNA", at positions 338 to 736 of the family's 1533-position model. The record is from RNAcentral.